UGGGAUGUAGCUCAGUGGUAAAGCAUUUACCUAGCAAGUACAAGGUCUUGAGUUCGAUUCCUAGUAUCAAAA
This 72-nucleotide transfer RNA is filed under the name Dipodomys ordii (Ord's kangaroo rat). It matches the Rfam family "tRNA". Rfam says of the family: Transfer RNA (tRNA) molecules are approximately 80 nucleotides in length. Their secondary structure includes four short double-helical elements and three loops (D, anti-codon, and T loops). Further hydrogen bonds mediate the characteristic L-shaped molecular structure. tRNAs have two regions of fundamental functional importance: the anti-codon, which is responsible for specific mRNA codon recognition, and the 3' end, to which the tRNAs corresponding amino acid is attached (by aminoacyl-tRNA synthetases). tRNAs cope with the degeneracy of the genetic code in two manners: having more than one tRNA (with a specific anti-codon) for a particular amino acid; and 'wobble' base-pairing, i.e. permitting non-standard base-pairing at the 3rd anti-codon position. The record is from Rfam by way of RNAcentral. Lineage: Eukaryota; Metazoa; Chordata; Mammalia; Rodentia; Heteromyidae.